RNAcentral lists this long non-coding RNA (249 nucleotides) under Elaeis guineensis (African oil palm). Its description in RNAcentral is "long non-coding RNA (EGUI_LNC051202)". Lineage: Eukaryota; Viridiplantae; Streptophyta; Magnoliopsida; Arecales; Arecaceae. The record is from RNAcentral.
GGGCUAAAUUAACUACUAAAAAUUGUUGGAAGAAAUAAUUGGUUGAGAACCUAUCUAUAGAUGCAUAUGGAUUAAUCGAGCCAUCUUCGGACCUGUAUGCAGUCUGUAUGAAUUUUAGUACCCACUAAGAGAUUAAAGUAAUUCUUCGAAUUAGAGGUAGAGGCUACCAAUUCGUAUAAAAUAGUGGGAGAACCUUUAGACUAAAGUUCAAGCCUUUAAGCUUAAUCAAUUCAUAAACAUAGAGGUCUU